Molecule: long non-coding RNA, 3728 nt
Organism: Corvus hawaiiensis (hawaiian crow)
Lineage: Eukaryota; Metazoa; Chordata; Aves; Passeriformes; Corvidae
Exons: 2
Source: RefSeq, a predicted model, not a curated record
CAGUGGAAGGUGUCCCUGCCCAUGGGAGGGGACAUGACUGGAUGAGCUUUAAGGUCCCUUCCAACCCAAAGCAGUCUGUGAUGCUGUGAUUACUUUUGUGAGGUUGUAAACACCACUCUUCCAUCUGCAGAAGGAGAAAACCUUUGGGAAAAGCACAGAGAACACUGCUAAUGAAUGCCUGUCCCAGGGCAGCAGGGAAACAUCUCUGCAGCUGGGCUCCUGGUUAACCACCUCACAAAAAUGUUCUUCCGUAGGUGGUAAAUGCAGAGUCAGAACUGCGGCUGCCAAAGGCACCGAGUUCAGGGUAACUUUCAGAAAUCUGUCAUUCUUCACUUCUCCCUCAACAAGGAGUUACAGAUUUGUGUGUUGCAAAUCAGGUCAGCCAGCUGCCAAGCACUGUAAUAAGCAACCUGCUAAUGCAAGUCACACAAAGCAGUUGUGCCUAAACACACACUUAUCCUCCAUAUCACCUUCCUCUUACUCUGCAAAGACUUACAACUUAAUACAAAAGGUAAAUUGUUUUACCAGGACCUUUUAAGAAUCCAGCACUAGAGAAGAUAAUUCACUAGUUUCACACAUCUCAAAGCAUGUUGAACACUUGGUCGUGUGCUUCAUUUGUAGUUUAAAAUACAGAUAUGCAAACAGAAGCUAAAACUAACCAGGUUUAAAGGAAACAAAACUAGAAGAAUAAUAUAAUCAGGUGGCAACUUCAUUAAGAAAAAAGUCAAUAUAUUUAAUAAAUUUCUGAAACACAGCAACUGGGUCCCACAAGUGAUCCAGGCUGCUGUCCUGCAUGUUGAUUACUUGCAUUUGUGCCCCAAAAAAGGUCUCAAUACAAAAGAUGAAAAAUUUCAGAAAUCUCAUCUGCUCCUAAAAGUCUACCUCUAUGUACAGAAAUAUAUCCUUUGGAAGCUUCAUUAUUGGGUGUUUUUACCUUUUUCAUUGCUUGCUUUUCAUGAUAAUAGACCCUGAUCCUGCAAAAUAGGAUCACUUCUACUUUGUGUUCCAGUCAAAUUCUGUUAUAAAACCAGUCACUGUUAAAGGUAAUACACUGGUGAGCCUUUUCCUUGCGGUGAGUCAACCACUUUCCACAAAGGAAAGGCAAUAUUGAAUUUUUAAGUGAAAAAUCAAAGGGUUAUUUAAAAAAAAAGCCCUCCCACAGACUGUAAUUAUUACUGAUACCCUUGCAUGGAUGACAGAUUUAUCUUCUUUUUCUCAUUUCUUUAAGUUUACAGACUUUCCAGCUCUUCAGGAUAUGAGGCAUAUGGCUGUACUCCCUGCCCAUCACUCCUUUCCCUGCCUUUCCACCCCCUUUUCUUCUCUGUAAGCCAGGUGUGCAAGAGAAAGGAGGCAGCCAAUAGUUUUAAAUUGCUGUGCACUGAGAAAUGUUACAGCUAAUUGAGAGACAAGCUCUGCAUCAGAGUCCCACUACAGAACAGAAUACAAAACUCAGCAUAGAGGGGAAUGCUGAUGGUGGUGAUGUCGUGUGUGCAGCAGACCUUGAGGAUGUUCCUGAGCCCCAUGAUGGCCGGGUCCCGGGCAGUCACGUUCACAGACCUGACAUUGUCAUCCACACACAGGUGAAAGGCAACGUGGAUUUCUGAGAGGUUUGAGUGCCGUGUGAUGUAGAACUCUCCUGCACAAUGAGGCAAACCAGGAAGGUGAGAAAUCAGGUAGUGAUCUGUACUGAAAUCCAAUUGUUUGGCAAUGUAAGAAAGAGGCAAAUGCAAAUAUACAGCAGAGAUGAGAACAUACACAAGAGAUGCAAAAUCUCUUGGACUAUCACUGUUUUACAACCACCCCACACUCCCUCCCCUGCUUUGAUGGAUUCCACUGGCAUCAUGGCCACAUGGUGUAAUAAACCAUAACAGUGCCAGUACAGGAUAUGAUCCCUAUAUAGCACAAAAUAGAAAAACAAACCCAGAGGAGGUGCAAUACUCAAAAUACACAAUGCAAGCACAGAAUUGCAGACAGAUGUGGGAGGCGGAAAGGCCAAAAAAGGAUGGGUUCAAAUAAAGGAUGCACAGAGCCUGUGGAAAAAGAUAGUGGGUUACAUAACAACUGAGAUAUGGCACUAGAACACAAAGGGAUCAGUGACUAUUAGAAUUUAAAAUAAUUCAGAGUAGUGGGAAGGUGAAUUACAGAGUUGUCUGAAAAAAGUAACUAAGACAUCUUAUUGGGGGUAUUUUUAAUUUUGUUAUUCAUUUAUCAAAGGUGAGGGGCAGUAAAAUUCACAUCUCUUCAUCGUUCCUCUGCACUGGAGAUUUAAAGUCUACAGUACAGUCAAGGGAAGAGCAGGUCUGCAAUGCCCCCACUGUUUCAGUCAACAAAUAAACAUCUUCCUUCAAACCUAUUCCCACUGGCCACUGAAGUUAAGAUCUUUUCUUUGAACUGGAAGAGCUAGAGAAUGGGUCUGUACUCCUUCUGGAUGACUGCUAAGGAGGCAGAAAUCCCCAGCAGUGACCAUCUACAAGCAGUAACAGGCAGGCCACUGGUGCAAGACACACCUGGAUUUGUCUGGUCCAAGAUGAUUUAUAAUCCACUGUCACUAACAAUAUUUAAGACAGUCAGGAAAUCAAUUUUAAGAAACCCUCAUUCAACCACAGGUUGUAUGGACUUAAUCCCUCCCCCCUCCAACUGCAUAUACCUCUUCAAAUUGCAUAGCAGCUUUCCUUACUAAACAUCACAAUAUACACAGAAGAUACUUUCCCUGAGAGAGGAAUUUCUCAAAGUUAAAAAAUCCACUCAAAAAUGCUUUUCUGUAUCACAACAGUGAUGUACAUAUAGCUAUUUUCAAAAAUAAAAUCAGCUGUUAGUAUUGAAGUUUCACCUUUUCCCCAAGAUGCUCAUAGAUUUUUUUUUUCACCCUCAAAUUCCAAAAGGAAAUUUUAGGCAAAGAGAAGUGAUUUGCCCCAUGCCAUGUGACGCAGUGGCAAAGCUGGGAAUAGAAACCAGAUGUCCUGACACCCAGUCCUCUGCCUCAGCCACAGGAACAUCCUUCUCCUCUGAUUGAGGUCAGCUUGGGUUCAGUUUGUAAUUUGUGUUCCGACUUUAGAGCUAAAAAUGUGCCAUGUAUGAAACACAAUUUGCUUCAAGAAGAGGGGCUCAAUGCCACACAACUCACCCGGCAAAAUGUUUGACUGGUUCCGUUCGAUAUUCUUUAAUUUAUCUUCAUUCCCACUGAUUUUGUUUUCUGUGUAUGAACACAUGGAACAAGUAUUAAUCAUAUCCUCUAUUAAUUACACUUGGGCAUGAAAAGGUUCAUGUACUGAUAUGUGGCUUGAAUUUUGACCAUGAAGUUACCAUAAAGUCCCCAAAAAGCAGGGGGAUGGGUAGCAUUGUUUUCUCUGUCUUCAACACAUCCCAAACUGAAUCUUACCUCAAAUCACUGCCUUUCUUACCAUCCUGUGAUAUUUCUUCAUUUGGACAAAAGCAAACAAAAUAUUCUCAGAAAUAACACGAAACUUUGGAAAUUGCCCCCACAACCACAUAGUAUCUUGCUAUUACUCUUUCAAGAAUGUAAUAAAUUAAAAUUAAUUUGUUCCUAAGAGAUUUACAUAAAUCAGCAGCAUAAAACCAGCUUUCACCAUUUCUCUCGAGAUGCAGCAAUAUGCAGGUUCUCAAGGAAACUUGUUUUUCUGUGUACUCAUAUUUGUUCAUGUUCCUGAUGCAUUUAAAUCAUGUAAGUAGCUCUUUGCAAGGAAAAUAAAGUUUGAUAAUGUAGAAUU